UCUGGGUGAUUUAGUAAAGGGGAAACACCUGUUCCCAUUCCGAACACAGCAGUUAAGUCCUUCUACCCCCACAAUAGUUUUUCGUUUGAAAUGCUAAGAUAGGGGUUUGCCCAGAA
This 116-nucleotide ribosomal RNA is filed under the name Candidatus Phytoplasma melaleucae. The record is from RNAcentral. Lineage: Bacteria; Bacillati; Mycoplasmatota; Mollicutes; Acholeplasmatales; Acholeplasmataceae.